CCAAACGCGUUUUCUUCAACACGAAAUUCAAACAAUUCCCUCAAAAUCUCUACUCUUUCCACUCUCUAUCCCAUGUCUUCUUCUCAAAUUUCACCAUCAAAAUCCAAAUUUUGUACACAUACAAAAUUAAAAUUCUCUCUCUAAAAAAACCCACAAACCAUUUGUCCGAAAUUAAGGUUUAUUUUUGCUUUGACUUAACUCUGAUAAACUUUAUUCUCUGUUUUUCAGUCCUUUGAUCAAC
RNAcentral lists this long non-coding RNA (241 nucleotides) under Panax ginseng (ginseng). RNAcentral's name for it is "long non-coding RNA (PGIN_LNC011732)". Lineage: Eukaryota; Viridiplantae; Streptophyta; Magnoliopsida; Apiales; Araliaceae. The record is from RNAcentral.